Molecule: ribosomal RNA, 426 nt
Filed under: uncultured bacterium
Lineage: Bacteria
Description: bacterial SSU rRNA
Rfam family: Bacterial small subunit ribosomal RNA
Source: RNAcentral
UGGGGAAUCUUGCGCAAUGGGCGAAAGCCUGACGCAGCGACGCCGCGUGAGUGAUGAAGGCCUUCGGGUUGUAAAGCUCUGUGGGGAGAGACGAAUAAGCUGUGGCUAAUAUCCACGGUGAUGACGGUAUCUCCUUAGCAAGCACCGGCUAACUCUGUGCCAGCAGCCGCGGUAAGACAGAGGGUGCAAACGUUGUUCGGAAUUACUGGGCGUAAAGCGCAUGUAGGCGGUCUAGCAGGUCGGAUGUGAAAGCCCUCGGCUCAACCGAGGAAGUGCAUUCGAAACCGCAAGACUCGAGUCCCGGAGAGGGUAGUGGAAUUCUCGGUGUAGAGGUGAAAUUCGUAGAUAUCGAGAGGAACACCGGUGGCGAAAGCGGCUACCUGGACGAGGACUGACGCUGAGAUGCGAAAGCGUGGGGAGCAAACA